GAUGAACGCUGGCGGCGUGCCUAAUACAUGCAAGUCGAGCGAACAGAUGAGGAGCUUGCUCCUCUGACGUUAGCGGCGGACGGGUGAGUAACACGUGGAUAACCUACCUAUAAGACUGGGAUAACUUCGGGAAACCGGAGCUAAUCCCGGAUAAUAUAUUGAACCGCAUGGUUCAAUAGUGAAAUACGGUUUUGCUGUCACUUAUAGAUGGUUCCGCGCCGCAUUAGCUAGUUGGUAAGGUAACGGCUUACCAAGGCAACGAUGCGUAGCCGACCUGAGAGAGGGAUAGGCGACACUGGAACGGAGACACGGUCCAGACGCCUACGGGAGGCAGCAGUAGGGAAUCUGCCGCAAUGGGCGAAAGCCUGACGGAGCAACGCCGCGUGAGUGAUGAAGGUCUUCGGAGCGUAAAACUCUGUUAUGAGGGAAGAACAAAUGUGUAAGUAACCAUGCACGUCUUGACGGUACCUAAUCAGAAAGCCACGGCUAACUACGUG
RNAcentral lists this ribosomal RNA (497 nucleotides) under uncultured bacterium. Its description in RNAcentral is "partial 16S ribosomal RNA". It matches the Rfam family "Bacterial small subunit ribosomal RNA", at positions 28 to 507 of the family's 1533-position model. The record is from RNAcentral.